GAUGAACGCUGGCGGCGUGCCUAAUACAUGCAAGUCGAGCGAACGGACGAGAAGCUUGCUUCUCUGAUGUUAGCGGCGGACGGGUGAGUCACACGUGUAUAACCUACCUAUAAUACUGGGAUAACUUCGGGAAACCGGCGCUAAUCCCGGAUAAUCUUUUGAUCCGCAUGGUUCAAAAGUGAAAGACGGUCUUGCUGUCACUUAUCGAUGCAUCCGCGCUGCAUUAGCUAGUUGGUAAGUUAACGGCUUACCAAGGCAACGAUGCAUAGCCGACCUGAGAGGGUGAUAGGCCACACUGGAACUGAGACAGGGUCAAGACUCCUAAGGGAGGCAGCAGUAGGGAAUCUUACGCAGUGGGCGAAAGCAUGACGGAGCAACGCGGAGUGAGUGAUGAAGGUGUUCGGAUCGUAAAAAUCUGUUAUUAGGGAAGAACAUAUGUGGAAGGAACUGUGCACAGCUUGACGGUAACUAAUCAGAAAGCAACGGCUAACUACGUG
This 497-nucleotide ribosomal RNA is filed under the name uncultured bacterium. Its description in RNAcentral is "partial 16S ribosomal RNA". It matches the Rfam family "Bacterial small subunit ribosomal RNA", at positions 28 to 507 of the family's 1533-position model. The record is from RNAcentral.